GACGGAGGAGGCUAGCGUUGUUCGGAAUUACUGGGCGUAAAGCGCGCGCAGGCGGCUUAGCAAGUCAGGGGUGAAAGCCCGGGGCUCAACCUCGGAACUGCCUUUGAGACUGCUAGGCUCGAGACCGAGAGAGGAGAGUGGAAUUCCCAGUGUAGAGGUGAAAUUCGUAGAUACUGGGAAGAACACCAGUGGCGAAGGCGGCUCUCUGGCUCGGUACUGACGCUGAGGCGCGAAAGCGUGGGGAGCAAACAGG
This 253-nucleotide ribosomal RNA is filed under the name uncultured bacterium. RNAcentral's name for it is "partial 16S ribosomal RNA". It matches the Rfam family "Bacterial small subunit ribosomal RNA", at positions 524 to 776 of the family's 1533-position model. The record is from RNAcentral.